GGACAGCAAGGCCACGUGGCAGCAUGCUUCAUUGCUUGAAUCAUGAUUAAAAGGUCCAGUCACUUUUAGUGGAGCAGGUCUCAGGAAUAAGGAACAAAAGAAACUAUGAUAUUGAAGAUGAGAUAAAGGUGAAGAGAUGAAAAAUUGAAGGGAAGAAAGAGAAAAGGGAAAGAAAUUGAUCCCUGAGUUGUGCCGUAAAGUUAUGUUAAUAGAAGAGCGCAAGAUAAGGUUGAGAAACUUGAGGAUGACCUUUUAGGACUUAAGGAUGACAUUAUUGAUUAAGAAUUUUUUAUGAUACCAAUACAAAGGAGCAAUAAAAGAAAUACGAAAAGAUAAAAGCAGUCAGUAAGAGAGUGACAGUAGUAGUGAGGAUGACAUGAAGGCAAAGAUAAUUGGAGAGGAGGAGGAAUUAAGAUGAAUAAUAUGCAAUGGAGAAAGAGAGGGAGAAGGAUUUGCUGAAGAGAGAUACCUUGACUGUCAGAAUAAAAAAAGAUAUAGAGAAGAUUAGAAAAUUAUCAGAAAAAUUAUUAUCAUUGUCACUUUCUCCUCUAUCUUUCUCUCUUCCCUCUUUUUCCAGGGUUAUGAAGAACCAAUGAAAUAACUACAGAUUGCUGAAAAGGGCCAAAGUAAAUUGGUCACAAUGAUCCCAGAGUUACAUUUAAAAUGUUAACUUGGAGACCAUGCUCAAGAUAAACUUGCAGAGCUGGAGGCUGAUGUAAUUGAUAACAAAUAUCUGUUCUCUGACUCUGAUAACAACUACCAAAUUGACUAAGAGGGAAAAUGCUGAGCACCUGCAGAAAAAGAAAUUAAAGGAGCUUACUGAUGAGCAUAGAAAUGCAAAGGGCAUGAGAAGAUUGAAUGGUAUAAUAUUUCUUCUGUGAUGAGUAAGCACCACUUCAUAGUACAUGUAUCAGCUAAGUGUGAAAAAGGAAUUGCUUUUAUUUAUUGCAUUUUGUCUUUCUCAUUGUUGGGGCCGUACACUUAAGAAAAUGGGAGAACAAGUAAGGCAUAACCCAGUGACAAAAAUGCUAAAGAGAAAAACAAAGUCAAAAAAGAGUAUAAUCUUGUCAGCAUGGAUGAUGAGAUAGCAUUUGUCUUGGCUGAAACUGUUAGAUUACAAUAAAGAAGAGAAUGAAGUAGAAAUGUCUGAAGAUUGUAAAUUGAAGAAGAACUGUAAAUUGAAGAAGAAAGAUUGAAUUUGAAGAAGGAUAUGAGUUUCUCUCUUUCAUUAUAAUACCUAAUAGAGUAGGAGGAGUUUGCCUAUCUUUCCUUAUUAUGAGUCAUUGCUGGAAGCUGUCAAAAAUCAUGAGGUGACAGAGAUUGAUAAUCAGUGGCAACUGAAAUUAGCUCCCCACUAUUAAAAAACAAAGGACAUACACAAGAUGAGAAUAGGAAGAUGCCAAAGGGAGCAGGGAUCAUAGGAUGAAACUAGAUAUAAUAACCAGUUUUUAAUAAUGUACAAGCACCACAUUUCUGUAUGUUAUUUAUGAAAAUGAACAUUAUUGUAAUAUUGAGAUUAAUAAACACAGAAGAAAUUAGCAUUUUGUUAGACCUUAA
Amphimedon queenslandica is the source of this 1557-nucleotide long non-coding RNA. RefSeq lists it as uncharacterized. The transcript is spliced from 10 exons. NCBI's taxonomy places the organism in Eukaryota, Metazoa, Porifera, Demospongiae, Haplosclerida, Niphatidae. The record is from RefSeq and is a predicted model, not a curated record.